Molecule: non-coding RNA, 30 nt
Filed under: Homo sapiens (human)
Lineage: Eukaryota; Metazoa; Chordata; Mammalia; Primates; Hominidae
Source: RNAcentral
UAAACUGGUGUUAGGAGCCUCAAAACUCUU